CUGGAUUAUGGUCGGGUAAAAGGAGGAGAGCAUCUCGGACAUCGGCCGACUCUUCAAGAGCUCCCGAUCGGUCGGGAGAAUGGUUGCUUGAUACAACCUCCUGGCCAAAUUAUGGUUGGCCAGGGCCGAUGCUCCUUCAAAAACCCAAACAUCGGAUGAUGCAAUGCGGUCUGCUGACUUUGUGUCGUCCGUCGGCACCAUCGGAGCUUUCCCCCGAUCAGUCGUCCAGGCC
RNAcentral lists this long non-coding RNA (232 nucleotides) under Elaeis guineensis (African oil palm). Its description in RNAcentral is "long non-coding RNA (EGUI_LNC030877)". The record is from RNAcentral. Lineage: Eukaryota; Viridiplantae; Streptophyta; Magnoliopsida; Arecales; Arecaceae.